GAAAAACCUGAUGUUGCUGAUGAGGAGGAAAUGGUAUAAUAAACAGAUAUGUUAAAGAGAGAUUGAGACCAAGAGAGUGCUGUUUACCUGUGGAAACAAGUGAGGCGUUACAAAGAUGUUUCUAUUGGAAGAAACAUAGUGGAAUUUAACUACGUACAAAGAUUCAUCAAACCUGGCUCAGCAGAGAGAUGGAAGCAGUAAAGAGCAGCCUUACUGGGAUGAGCAGGUGGGCCACAGCUGGGUUCCUAGCAGCUUUGAUCAACACCACUGAUUUACUAUCAUUAACAAGGAGACACUGCAGUGGAGCCUGUAAUGUUGCCCUGACCUCAGCCACAACCUCUCCCUGGGUUUGAGCUCAAGUUUGGUGCCUGCUCUGACUGUUUGCAGACUGAAGCAGCAGUCUGAACAGCGCUCAGGCCGGAAGGGAGAGCCAAGAAGUGUCUUGGAUCCAAACUGUGUAAGUCAGACUCAGAAGUCAGACUCAGUGGAGACUUGCUUUUAUUAAAGCUGGUGGCUUACCCAGGUUGGGGUGAGGUAGCUUACCUCUCAAUUCGCGUUUCUGCAAUGGCUCAAAUAUAUUUUUAACAUGAAGUCUUAAUCAAUUUUGUGAAAAUAAAAGCUUUUCUUUUGCUUUUUCACAGUCUUACUUGAUUGUCUCGAUACAUCCAAGCUGCCAAAUACACCUUUCCCAGAACAAGUGGUGUAGUGUGGCUUACAGCCGUACUUAAG
Oxyura jamaicensis (ruddy duck) is the source of this 729-nucleotide long non-coding RNA. RefSeq lists it as uncharacterized. The transcript is spliced from 5 exons. The record is from RefSeq and is a predicted model, not a curated record. Lineage: Eukaryota; Metazoa; Chordata; Aves; Anseriformes; Anatidae.